RNAcentral lists this long non-coding RNA (303 nucleotides) under Gossypium raimondii (Peruvian cotton). Its description in RNAcentral is "long non-coding RNA (GRAI_LNC000629)". The record is from RNAcentral. Lineage: Eukaryota; Viridiplantae; Streptophyta; Magnoliopsida; Malvales; Malvaceae.
GAAUGCUAAAAUUAUGGAAAUAAGAUAAUAUAUAUAAAACAAAAGCCUAAAAUAUAUGUAUAUUAAAGAUGCUUAGAUAUGGUGUAUAAAAUAUGCCUAUGUAUGGAUGAAAUAAUGGUAAUAAUAAUAAUAAAUGAAAUCAUGAUAUAGCAUAAUUUUUUAAAUAAAAAAAAUACAAAUUAAAUAAAUAAAGUAGCUAAAAAAAACUAAAUUGAACUUAAAAAGAAAAAAAAAUGGGUAAAUUUGAAGCAAAUUAAAAGACAGGACCACGUUGAAUGCGCGCACAACAGUGGAGGACCAAAA